GAGAGAUAAAAAUAUUAAAAACUAAUCAGAAUUAAAUAUUUAAUCUAUAGUUAACUAAAUUUUUCUAACGGAUUCUAACGGUAGGAAUGUAUUUGAGGACAAUAUUAAGACUGUUGUAGGGAUCAUAUAUGAAAAUUGAACUUUAUAAAAAUAUAUUUAUUAUUUACUAUAUUUACAUGAACACGUGUGAAAUUAAUCCUAAAUAUUUUAU
Molecule: long non-coding RNA, 211 nt
Filed under: Ananas comosus (pineapple)
Lineage: Eukaryota; Viridiplantae; Streptophyta; Magnoliopsida; Poales; Bromeliaceae
Description: long non-coding RNA (ACOM_LNC010519)
Source: RNAcentral